GGGUUCCUUGAAGCCUCAGUGGUGACUGAGGAACUGAGAACAGGUGAGUCAGCCCAGGCAAGCAGCCCACUGCAGAGCCCAGAAAGAGACUUGUCAUCCACCCCAGAGUCCAAGCUCCCAGGACUUCUCAGAGUCACUCAUGAAGCCCCUCAACAGUCCUGAAAUGAAGCUCCCGAGACUGGGUCAGUUACGACCAUCCAGAAGGAGACCAUGCCCAGCCAACUACAAGACUUCCACAUGGCAGGGACCAGCCAGUGCCUCCAGUAAAAAUCUGCAGGCCUCCCACAUCUCCAUGUGCAGAGGCCAAAACCAGCUCUUUUGCUGCCCUGGGAUGACUGACAUUGAGACAAACUACUCCUUCCAGGGAAGCUUUUCACCACCCCUCCGCCAUCUCAGCAACAGUGCUGUAAGUUCAUCUAGCGUCUCUAGUCUACCAACAAAACCCUCUCAGCCUCAACAAUCUUCAAGGAUCAGUUCUACUGAAAAAAAAGAAAAGACAGAAAGGAAGGAAGGAAGAAGGGACACAUCACUAUAAAGCAGUUAUCCUCUGGUUUUAAACAAAAUGCAAAAUGAAAGAAAGAAGAGAAAAAAGGAAUGAACGAGUAAAGAAAAGAAAUACCCCUUUAUAAAAACACCUAACUUAAAUUUCUCCCUACAGUUCAAAUUUAGGUCUUCAGGGUCUUCAUUCGUCUCACAAAAAUGUUGUAAAUCAAAGCAAACUCUCCUUAGAGCAACUGGGGGGAAAAAAUUCUUUCUAAAAUAACAUUUUCCUAUAACUGUUCAUGUGAGUUGAGUUCAUCAUAUGUUAAGCAUGUCCCAUGCUAUGUUAUUUUUCGAGAUGUCUUCAAUAUGAUCAAGGGACAGGCCUCUAGGGCAUCAUCUCUGUUCUAUACCUGGAAAAAACAAUGUACAGAAAUUUCCAUUAAGAGAGGAGAUUGACAGUCAAUACAUAAGACUCAAGAGGCAAGGAAAUCUCAUAGGGGUAAUGCACUGCAUUCAAAUACAGACCUGCCUCGGGGCUCUGAAUAUCCAGGUCCAGAUCUUCGAUGGGUGGAUAAUGCCUGAGGCUUGAUACCGGGUCUGAUGUCCAGGUUUGACAUUUAUGGCAGACCUUACACCCUCCUGCCUUGUGAUUUUGAAAAACUCGAAAUCUCUCCUGAGUCCUCACCUACUGACACUGUGACCCACGUGAGAAGUGUCUGAGAUUAUUUUCCUUGAAAUUAUAAUUCCAGACAACUCCAACACCAGGCAACCCUGGUUACUAACUGGUGGAUUUAAUUUUUCACACUGUGGCAGCAGUGUAGGAAAUCUUAGUCAGUCCCUCCAAACCACAUACACUGGGUUACUCCCUGAAGAAGAGAGCUUGUUAAACACAGAGGACCUCAAAAAGGACCAUGGACCCCAAAUGUUGCCAGUGUCAGAGCCAAAUCCUUCAGUACAUUCACCAAAAGUGAUCCAGCUGGAAGUGUUCUUUCAAGUUCCCAUUAGAGACUAGCACAUUGCCUACCUGGCAGACAUUGUUGCAUAACAGCUGUACUUUGGUGGCCCUGGGAAAAUCCACUGGAAAUCUACCUUUUCCUUAAGCAUAUGGACCUUCCUGAAACCUGUAAGAGAAUGGGGUAGGGUAGGGUGUGUUUUCCAUAGGAGACACAUACAGACCCUCCUAGCACUCGUUUCUAACAUCAGAACAUGAUAACUGUUGGUCAGAGUACAACGCACAGUUGUCGAGAGGAGGGAGAUAUUAGUUUGGUUAAGGAGGAUGAGGAAAGGCUCCCUGGUGGAAGUUAUAGUCGAACUGACUUGAAGGAUGAAGAUUCUUGACCAAUGGAGGGAUUGGAGAAAGACAUGACAAGAAGAGGGUCAACAGCUUAGGCAAUUCAGGAAGGUGGAUGGGACUGUGUUUGGAGAAGAGCAUCCACUCUGCAGGAAUGAGUCAGCACUGGAGGCCAGAGCAGAGCAGUGGCUGCCAUGGUGAGGUGUGGCCUGAUGGGGUAGGGGCUUGCAAACCAGGAAAAAGGAUUUGGACUUUUGUCUUGUGAGAAGUCAAAAGGAAUCAGAGAUACAUAAGAGGCAGUGUGCUUGAAAAGUGUUUUGGAAAGAUCACUGUGGAUGAGAGGAUUGGUUUGGAGACCCAAAGCAGUGAGCUCAGAUAUAAAGUUUGUGUGAAAGCUGAGAUGGACAAUGGAAAGGUCAGGAAUAAGCACCUGGAAAGAGAAAACAGAUUUAAGAGACGUCAAAAGCAGAUGAAUGAUAAGUGGGAGUGAAGGGGGGGAGAGAUGGCCUCUUAAUGGCAUCCCGCUUGUGUGCUGGAAGACUCUCUAGUUUGUAUGUUUCAAGAUUUUGUCGUCAGAAAUUAAUUCUUUCUGUUUUUACUAUAUUAAGACUUUAAGUGUUGAUCUACCUAAGAAUAUUUUUAUUAUGUUUCUAUGGUCCAAACAACUAAUCUCCAAUGACAAAAUUUCAGAAUUUGAGGGUAGGGAGUUUCUAGGCCCUCAAAACUCAUUCUACAACUGGCUGCCCACCCUUCUUAUUUAUGAAUUCA
This is a long non-coding RNA of Capra hircus (goat), 2542 nucleotides long. Lineage: Eukaryota; Metazoa; Chordata; Mammalia; Artiodactyla; Bovidae. The record is from Ensembl.